AUUGAACGCUGGCGGAAUGCUUUACACAUGCAAGUCGAACGGCAGCACGGGUGCUUGCACCUGGUGGCGAGUGGCGAACGGGUGAGUAAUGCACCGGAACGUAUCCAAUAAUGGGGGAUAACGCACCGAAAGGUGUGCUAAUACCGCAUACGCCCUGAGCGGGAAAGCGGGGGAUCGUAAGACCUCGCGUUAAUGGAGCGGCCGAUGCCGGAUUAGCUAGUUGGUGAGGUAAAGGCUCACCAAGGCGACGAUCCGUAGCUGGUCUGAGAGGACGACCAGCCACACUGGAACUGAGACACGGUCCAGACUCCUACGGGAGGCAGCAGUGGGGAAUAUUGGACAAUGGGCGCAAGCCUGAUCCAGCAAUGCCGCGUGUGUGAAGAAGGCCUGCGGGUUGUAAAGCACUUUCAGUGGGGAAGAACGGAUACGGGCCAAUACCCGCAUCACUGACGUUACCCACAGAAGAAGCACCGGCUAACUCCGUGCCAGCAGCCGCGGA
RNAcentral lists this ribosomal RNA (499 nucleotides) under uncultured bacterium. RNAcentral's name for it is "bacterial SSU rRNA". It matches the Rfam family "Bacterial small subunit ribosomal RNA", at positions 29 to 521 of the family's 1533-position model. The record is from RNAcentral.